RNAcentral lists this ribosomal RNA (253 nucleotides) under uncultured prokaryote. RNAcentral's name for it is "partial 16S ribosomal RNA". It matches the Rfam family "Bacterial small subunit ribosomal RNA", at positions 525 to 777 of the family's 1533-position model. The record is from RNAcentral.
ACGUAGGGUGCAAGCGUUACUCGGAAUUACUGGGCGUAAAGCGUGCGUAGGUGGUUCGUUAAGUCUGUCGUGAAAGCCCCGGGCUCAACCUGGGAAUGGCGAUGGAUACUGGCGGGCUAGAGUGCGGUAGAGGAGAGUGGAAUUCCCGGUGUAGCAGUGAAAUGCGUAGAGAUCGGGAGGAACAUCUGUGGCGAAGGCGACUACCUGGACCAGCACUGACACUGAGGCACGAGAGCGUGGGGAGCAAACAGGA